Molecule: ribosomal RNA, 253 nt
Filed under: uncultured bacterium
Lineage: Bacteria
Description: partial 16S ribosomal RNA
Rfam family: Bacterial small subunit ribosomal RNA
Source: RNAcentral
UACGUAGGGUGCGAGCGUUGUCCGGAAUUACUGGGCGUAAAGAGCUCGUAGGUGGUUUGUCGCGUUGUCCGUGAAAACUCACAACUCAAUUGUGGGCGUGCGGGCGAUACGGGCAGACUGGAGUACUGCAGUGGAGACUGGAAUUCCUGGUGUAGCGGUGGAAUGCGCAGAUAUCAGGAGGAACACCGGUGGCGAAGGCGGGUCUCUGGGCAGUAACUGACGCUGAGGAGCGAAAGCGUGGGGAGCGAACAGG